This 492-nucleotide ribosomal RNA is filed under the name uncultured bacterium. RNAcentral's name for it is "partial 16S ribosomal RNA". It matches the Rfam family "Bacterial small subunit ribosomal RNA", at positions 29 to 507 of the family's 1533-position model. The record is from RNAcentral.
AGUGAACGCUGGCGGUAGGCCUAACACAUGCAAGUCGAACGGCAGCACAGUAAGAGCUUGCUCUUACGGGUGGCGAGUGGCGGACGGGUGAGGAAUACAUCGGAAUCUACUUUUUCGUGGGGGAUAACGUAGGGAAACUUACGCUAAUACCGCAUACGACCUACGGGUGAAAGCAUGGGAUCUUCGGACCUUGCGCGAUUGAAUGAGCCGAUGUCGGAUUAGCUAGUUGGCGGGGUAAAGGCCCACCACGGCGACGAUCCGUAGCUGGUCUGAGAGGAUGAUCAGCCACACUGGAACUGAGACACGGUCCAGACGCCUACGGGAGGCAGCAGUGGGGAAUAUUGGACAAUGGGCGCAAGCCUGAUCCAGCCAUACUGCGUGGGUGAAGAAGGCCUUCGGGUUGUAAAGCCCUUUUGUUGGGAAAGAAAAGCAGCAGGUUAAUACCCCGCUGUUCUGACGGUACCCAAAGAAUAAGCACCGGCUAACUUCGUG